GGAGAGAUCGCACAGUUGGUCUAGUGCGCACGCUUGGAAAGCGUGUAGGGUCGCAAGGCUCUCGAGGGUUCGAAUCCCUCUCUCUCCGCCA
RNAcentral lists this transfer RNA (91 nucleotides) under Candidatus Berkelbacteria bacterium CG08_land_8_20_14_0_20_39_8. RNAcentral's name for it is "tRNA-Ser". It matches the Rfam family "tRNA". From Rfam's summary of the family: Transfer RNA (tRNA) molecules are approximately 80 nucleotides in length. Their secondary structure includes four short double-helical elements and three loops (D, anti-codon, and T loops). Further hydrogen bonds mediate the characteristic L-shaped molecular structure. tRNAs have two regions of fundamental functional importance: the anti-codon, which is responsible for specific mRNA codon recognition, and the 3' end, to which the tRNAs corresponding amino acid is attached (by aminoacyl-tRNA synthetases). tRNAs cope with the degeneracy of the genetic code in two manners: having more than one tRNA (with a specific anti-codon) for a particular amino acid; and 'wobble' base-pairing, i.e. permitting non-standard base-pairing at the 3rd anti-codon position. The record is from RNAcentral. Lineage: Bacteria; Candidatus Berkelbacteria.